AGUGAACGCUGGCGGCAGGCCUAACACAUGCAAGUCGAACGGCAGCACAAGAGAGCUUGCUCUCUGGGUGGCGAGUGGCGGACGGGUGAGGAAUGCAUCGGAAUCUGCCCAUUUGUGGGGGAUAACCUCGGGAAACCGGGACUAAUACCGCAUACGACCUACGGGUGAAAGCAGGGGAUCUUCGGACCUUGCGCAGAUGGAUGAGCCGAUGCCGGAUUAGCUAGUUGGAGGGGUAAAGGCCCACCAAGGCGACGAUCCGUAGCUGGUCUGAGAGGAUGAUCAGCCACACUGGGACUGAGACACGGCCCAGACUCCUACGGGAGGCAGCAGUGGGGAAUAUUGGACAAUGGGCGCAGGCCUGAUCCAGCCAUGCCGCGUGUGUGAAGAAGGCCUUCGGGUUGUAAAGCACUUUUGUUGGGAAAGAAAAGCAGCCGGUUAAUACCCGGUUGUCAUGACGGUACCCAAAGAAUAAGCACCGGCUAACUUCGUG
Molecule: ribosomal RNA, 490 nt
Filed under: uncultured bacterium
Lineage: Bacteria
Description: partial 16S ribosomal RNA
Rfam family: Bacterial small subunit ribosomal RNA
Source: RNAcentral